GUUUAACUGACAUUGUUACAGCCACCAUUUUGUCAGAUCUGUGACCAAGGAAAUAUUGACAGACAUGUUUUAGAAACUUCCCUAAUGCCCUUGUUGGAGCAUUAUCUUUUGCUUCCAGUAAAAACUACAGAGGCAAACUCCUUGUCUUCAACCUUUAAUGGAAGUGUGUCCAGCUCACUGCACAGCUGUGCACCUACACACAUAGGCAGUGUCCAGUUGUGGAACAAGGUCAUGGCCUCCACUCCAGAACGGACCCUCUUUCUUUGUAGGUUUUCUCCAGGUUCUCCAAGUUCCUCCCUUAUUCCAAUGACAUGCAGGUCAGGUGAACCAGAAACUGUAAAUUACCUUUCCC
Molecule: long non-coding RNA, 352 nt
Organism: Siniperca chuatsi (mandarin fish)
Lineage: Eukaryota; Metazoa; Chordata; Actinopteri; Centrarchiformes; Sinipercidae
Exons: 3
Source: RefSeq, a predicted model, not a curated record